Molecule: long non-coding RNA, 224 nt
Filed under: Capsella grandiflora
Lineage: Eukaryota; Viridiplantae; Streptophyta; Magnoliopsida; Brassicales; Brassicaceae
Description: long non-coding RNA (CGRA_LNC000863)
Source: RNAcentral
AAAUCCCAGAAAAAUUAAAACCCCUUUGUCUCCCAUUUGUUCACAUCACAAACCAAAGAGAGCCUAAACCCUUGUGAAGUGAAAAAGAUCGUUUAUUGUGUUCUUCGUCGUCUCUUCGUCUUCUUCUCUACCGAUCCAACAAUGCUAAUCUCCGGUGAACCUCCGUCGCGUACUCUUUAAUCUGCCGUCGUUUCUCUUCCUUUCCCCCCUCCGAUUCCUUCAUU